RNAcentral lists this ribosomal RNA (202 nucleotides) under uncultured bacterium. RNAcentral describes it as "partial 16S ribosomal RNA". It matches the Rfam family "Bacterial small subunit ribosomal RNA", at positions 1299 to 1500 of the family's 1533-position model. The record is from RNAcentral.
UGCAGGCUGCAACUCGCCUGCAUGAAGUCGGAAUUGCUAGUAAUCGCAGAUCAGCAUGCUGCGGUGAAUACGUUCCCGGGCCUUGUACACACCGCCCGUCACACCAUGGGAGUCGGUAACACCCGAAGUCGGUAGCCUAACCGUAAGGAGGGCGCCGCCGAAGGUGGGAUUGAUGACUGGGGUGAAGUCGUAACAAGGUAUC